CCUUCGGGUUGUAAAGCACUUUCAGCAGUGAGGAAGGCGGGUACGUUAAUAGCGUAUUCGUUUGACGUUAGCUGCAGAAGAAGCACCGGCUAACUCCGUGCCAGCAGCCGCGGUAAUACGGAGGGUGCGAGCGUUAAUCGGAAUUACUGGGCGUAAAGCGCAUGCAGGUGGUUCGUUAAGUCAGAUGUGAAAGCCCGGGGCUCAACCUCGGAACUGCAUUUGAAACUGGCGGACUAGAGUACUGUAGAGGGGGGUAGAAUUUCAGGUGUAGCGGUGAAAUGCGUAGAGAUCUGAAGGAAUACCGGUGGCGAAGGCGGCCCCCUGGACAGAUACUGACACUCAGAUGCGAAAGCGUGGGGAGCAAACAGGAUUAGAUACCCUGGUAGUCCACGCCGUAAACGAUGUCUACUUGGAGGUUGUGGCCUUGAGCCGUGGCUUUCGGAGCUAACGCGUUAAGUAGACCGCCUGGGGAGUACGGUCGCAAGAUUAAAACUCAAAUGAAUUGACGGGGGCCCGCACAAGCGGUGGAGCAUGUGGUUUAAUUCGAUGCAACGCGAAGAACCUUACCUACUCUUGACAUCCAGAGAAGCCAGCGGAGACGCAGGUGUGCCUUCGGGAGCUCUGAGACAGGUGCUGCAUGGCUGUCGUCAGCUCGUGUUGUGAAAUGUUGGGUUAAGUCCCGCAACGAGCGCAACCCUUAUCCUUGUUUGCCAGCGAGUAAUGUCCGGAACUCCAGGGAGACUGCCGGUGAUAAACCGGA
Molecule: ribosomal RNA, 760 nt
Filed under: Vibrio mediterranei
Lineage: Bacteria; Pseudomonadati; Pseudomonadota; Gammaproteobacteria; Vibrionales; Vibrionaceae
Description: bacterial SSU rRNA
Rfam family: Bacterial small subunit ribosomal RNA
Source: RNAcentral